Molecule: ribosomal RNA, 269 nt
Filed under: uncultured prokaryote
Description: partial 16S ribosomal RNA
Rfam family: Bacterial small subunit ribosomal RNA
Source: RNAcentral
UACGGAGGGUGCAAGCGUUAUCCGGAAUUACUGGGUUUAAAGGGUGCGUAGGCGGCGACAUAAGUCAGAAGUGAAAGUUGGCAGCUUAACUGCAAAAUUGCUUUUGAUACUGUGUUGCUUGAAUCAAGUUGAGGCUGGCGGAAUGUGGCAUGUAGCGGUGAAAUGCUUAGAUAUGCCAUAGAACACCAAUUGCGAAGGCAGCUGGCUAGACUUGUAUUGACGCUGAGGCACGAAAGCGUGGGGAGCGAACAGGAUUAGAUACCCCCGUA